This 237-nucleotide unclassified non-coding RNA is filed under the name rhizosphere metagenome. Its description in RNAcentral is "partial ribosomal RNA internal transcribed spacer region". The record is from RNAcentral.
GUUGGUGAACCAGCGGAGGGAUCAUUACAGAGUUAUACAACUCCCAUACCAUCUGUUAACCUACCCAGUUAUGCCUCGGCGUAAGCUCGGUUGGAGGCACCUGCAGCUACCCUGUAGUUGCGGACUGCCAACUCCAGCCGCGGCCCGCCGGCGGUACACUAAACUCUGUUUUAUUUUAUAUUCUGAGCGUCUUAUUUUAAUAAGUUAAAACUUUCAACAACGGAUCUCUUGGUUCUG